This 253-nucleotide ribosomal RNA is filed under the name uncultured bacterium. Its description in RNAcentral is "partial 16S ribosomal RNA". It matches the Rfam family "Bacterial small subunit ribosomal RNA", at positions 524 to 776 of the family's 1533-position model. The record is from RNAcentral.
UACGGGGGGGGCAAGCGUUGUUCGGAAUUACUGGGCGUAAAGGGCUCGUAGGUGGCCAACUAAGUCAUACGUGAAAUCCCUCGGCUUAACCGGGGAACUGCGUCUGAUACUGGAUGGCUUGAGAUUGGGAGAGGGAUGCGGAAUUCCAGGUGUAGCGGUGAAAUGCGUAGAUAUCUGGAGGAACACCGGUGGCGAAGGCGGCAUCCUGGACCAACACUGACACUGAGGAGCGAAAGCCAGGGGAGCAAACGGG